RNAcentral lists this non-coding RNA (191 nucleotides) under Thalassomonas actiniarum. RNAcentral's name for it is "MoCo sequence". It matches the Rfam family "Molybdenum/Tungsten riboswitch aptamer (Moco RNA motif)". Lineage: Bacteria; Pseudomonadati; Pseudomonadota; Gammaproteobacteria; Alteromonadales; Colwelliaceae. The record is from Rfam by way of RNAcentral.
AUAUAUUUUAAUCGCCGAGCUGAAACGGCUAAUUCAAAACCUAAGAUUAACGCUUUGUUUUGAAAUGUUGUUUUAAGCCGUGGCUGUCAUGUUGCCCCUGAUGUCAUAACAAGGGCUCAGGCAGCCACCAGGGUUAACAAGGAAACGCGUUAGCCUCCCGACAUUUGGAAAGGUGACAUGUUAACAGACAA